Molecule: ribosomal RNA, 253 nt
Filed under: uncultured bacterium
Lineage: Bacteria
Description: partial 16S ribosomal RNA
Rfam family: Bacterial small subunit ribosomal RNA
Source: RNAcentral
UACAGAGGUCCCAAGCGUUGUUCGGAUUCACUGGGCGUAAAGGGUGCGUAGGUGGUUAGGUAAGUCUGAUGUGAAAUCUCCGAGCUCAACUCGGAAACUGCAUCGGAUACUAUCUAGCUUGAGGGUUGGAGGGGGGACUGGAAUACUUGGUGUAGCAGUGAAAUGCGUAGAUAUCAAGUGGAACACCAGUGGCGAAGGCGAGUCCCUGGACAACUCCUGACACUGAGGCACGAAAGCUAGGGGAGCAAACGGG